AACUUGUUGGGGGGAAAUUAUUGCAUGCAAACAGAGGCAUCAGAAGAGUAAAAAGUUGGGAAAUGAGAAAGGUAUGAAAAAAAUUGUUUUGAAUAUAAAAAAAAAAGUUAAAGCAAAUAAGUAUAUAUAUUUGAAAUUCACUGGAUAGCAUUACAUUCAAAAGGAGCCAAGAAGUUUUCAUAUGAAGUGUAGUUAAUUUUGGAGAGAUACAUUUGUGUGGCAGGUUUUCCAGUUUUUUGGAGUAGCUGGGGAAUAAGUUGUACAGGAAGGAAAACAAAGCUUUCCCCAUUGCUGAGAGACUUUAGAAGACCAAAUUCAUUGAAAGUCAUAAGAAUAUCAUUGCAUUCAAUUCUAGUCAUCUCACUUAACUGUUGGACGGUGAUAAACCUGGUAUUUGGGCAGCAUCCAAUGGAAGGACAAGAAGAUUUAUCAGAAUUUGCAUCUGAAUUCAUUUUUCUCUCUUUUUGUUUUGAAGAUCUGGUAGUCCUUUGAGUGGACUGAGUCUGAUGAAUAACAUCUUGGAAAUUACUUAUAGUUGCAGCUUGUUUCAGUAAUGAUUUCUCCUGAGGUUGGUCUUUUUGGGGUUUAUUCCAAAGAAUUACAUCUUGAGAGCCGUCCAUUAAAAGUUCUAGUAAAAUAUAGCCCCAAUAUGAUAUAUAAGAGACUCUACCAAGAUCUGAAAGUGGUCUUUCAGGAGAGCCUGGCUUUUGCUCAAGAUUUGAAAGGCAAUAUGAAAAGUUAAUUAAGUACUUUCCAUAGCCCUUUCGCUGAUAUUGAGGAAGAAUCAUUAUACAAGAAAGAUUAUUCUUGCUGAACUUUUCUUUUGAAAAAUAUCCAACAAUGUGAUAACCUUUAUCAUCGCAUUCAGUAAGGACAUAAAACAAGAAGAGAUGUACAGAGUUGUAUAAAGUUUUAUGAUCCAAGAAAAGCUUUGAAAGGAAGCAUAGAUUUUCGCAAUAAACUCUGGCAAGCCUUCCAUCAACUUCAAACAUGGAAAGUCCAUCUUGUCUAAUAAGCUCGUUUCCAGGGGGAUAGAACAUAAUGCAACAUCUCUGAUGUCUAGUAUAUUCAUCUGAAUGAGCAAAGAAUGAGAGGCAAAAUUCGCAUAUAUAUAAAAUAUCAACAUUCUGUACCUCCUUAGGGUAUGGAGAAUAGUACCAAGUAUCAACCACAAAAGGUCCCAUAGCUAUUUUGCCAAUUGUCUUUACUUUGGUUAAUUCUUCGUGCUCCUUUAAGUAUUCUUCAUCCAUUCCUUCGUGUGCUAUGUCAUGAUAAUAUGGAAUCUCCCCAAUAAUUAUGUCAUCCUUUGCAACAGAAAUAUCUGAAGCUUUUAGUUUAGGUUUUGGAGGUUCAUUAGUCGAAGCAGAGGCUUCUGAAUUCUGGGUUUCAUGGUCGUGUUUUGGCUUGCUGUGAGAAAGAGGUAAGUAUUCAUUUGGAAUAACUCUCAAAGAUUCCCAUGUUAGCCAACAAUCCAACCUACGAUCUGUUCCUUCCCAGUGAAUAUAGUAGUCAUAGUUCAUUGCAGGAUUAGUAUUGCUU
RNAcentral lists this non-coding RNA (1539 nucleotides) under Cryptosporidium parvum. Lineage: Eukaryota; Apicomplexa; Conoidasida; Eucoccidiorida; Cryptosporidiidae. The record is from RNAcentral.